Molecule: ribosomal RNA, 470 nt
Filed under: Staphylococcus aureus
Lineage: Bacteria; Bacillati; Bacillota; Bacilli; Caryophanales; Staphylococcaceae
Description: partial 23S ribosomal RNA
Rfam family: Bacterial large subunit ribosomal RNA
Source: RNAcentral
UAAGUAAGCUUUGAUCCAGAGAUUUCCGAAUGGGGAAACCCAGCAUGAGUUAUGUCAUGUUAUCGAUAUGUGAAUACAUAGCAUAUCAGAAGGCACACCCGGAGAACUGAAACAUCUUAGUACCCGGAGGAAGAGAAAGAAAAUUCGAUUCCCUUAGUAGCGGCGAGCGAAACGGGAAGAGCCCAAACCAACAAGCUUGCUUGUUGGGGUUGUAGGACACUCUAUACGGAGUUACAAAGGACGACAUUAGACGAAUCAUCUGGAAAGAUGAAUCAAAGAAGGUAAUAAUCCUGUAGUCGAAAAUGUUGUCUCUCUUGAGUGGAUCCUGAGUACGACGGAGCACGUGAAAUUCCGUCGGAAUCUGGGAGGACCAUCUCCUAAGGCUAAAUACUCUCUAGUGACCGAUAGUGAACCAGUACCGUGAGGGAAAGGUGAAAAGCACCCCGGAAGGGGAGUGAAAUAGAACCUGA